AGGUGUAAAANUAAAAGGAAAAAAUUGAUAUUACGUUACAUAUAAGUGUUGCCNAAAUAACUGGUGCCAGAAGACUCGGUAACGCCAGAAACGCGAACGUUAGUCUCUUAAACAGGCGUAAAGGGUAAGUAGGCUGCUUUAAAAUCUAAUUUAUAAUAAAGCUAAUUAAUAAUAAUUUUCUUAGCUAUGCUUCGCAUAGCAACUCUUUGUUUAAAUUAUUUAAAUAAAGAUAAAAAGAUAAAGAUAAAGAGAGGUUGCUUUUUUUAUUCUUAUUUUUACCUUUGCUUUUUCGCCCUUGGGCUUUGUUCUUAUUUUUAUUAUAAAAAAAAGAAUAAAAACAAAGCAAGGCAAACAGAUAAGAAUAAAAAUAAUAAUAAAUAAAAUUAAAAAAUAGAUACAUUUAAAGCUAGAAUCAUAAAGGAGAUAAACCAAAUAAUGCUUACGUGUAAGGGCGAUAUCUAAAAAUACAAAGUAGAAUACUAAAGGUGAAAACUUUUUAUCUGGUAAUGAUUGACGCUGAGGUACGACAGUGAGAACAGGGAAUAGGAUUAGAUACCCAGUUACCUCUCACCGUGCAACGAUGUAAUGGUAAUUAUUAAUUGGAUUAGAUUCACGACUAUGUAUUACGCGAUUACCAUUUCCGCCUUGAAGAGUAACGGUUNNGCNAAUNUCGUUAAACCANAUUAAUUUACUUUGUCCUCGCCCUGUCGUUAGUCCAUUCAGACACACGGGCACGAAG
Molecule: ribosomal RNA, 739 nt
Filed under: Inocybe egenula
Lineage: Eukaryota; Fungi; Basidiomycota; Agaricomycetes; Agaricales; Inocybaceae
Description: 16S ribosomal RNA
Rfam family: Bacterial small subunit ribosomal RNA (bases 1-645)
Source: RNAcentral